Molecule: long non-coding RNA, 5353 nt
Filed under: Triticum aestivum (bread wheat)
Lineage: Eukaryota; Viridiplantae; Streptophyta; Magnoliopsida; Poales; Poaceae
Description: long non-coding RNA (TAES_LNC020749)
Source: RNAcentral
UUUUAAAUUAUCCAGAAUAUGUAAGACAAUUAUUAUCCGCGCCAUUGUAAAUUUGUUGUCGUAUUAUCCGUUGCCCUAUGUGGCAAUUAAAAUUAGGUCGGAAAGCGAGUUCAAAACACGAACAAAGCAAAUGCUUACAUGGGAUCACAAGCAAGCACCCUCCGUUCAGGUGCUUUAAUUAACCGCGUUUAAACAAGGGCUCGACCAUCAUCGAUGGAGAAGUUGUGAGCGAGGCGGGCGGCUGGUGGAUGGAGGUCAAGGAACUCGCUUCCAGGUGAGCAUGGGCGGCCUUGCUGCUCGCAUGUGUCCCGUCGAGCCUCCAAGGUGGACAGGAUGCAUGCGUCCCGUCGAGCCUGCACGACGGACUUCUCGCGGUCAUCCCGUCUAAUCAAACAGCUGCAUGCACACCACCCAGUAUGGUUAAAUUUUGGUAGAGGUAGUGGCUGCACUUAAAUGGUUACGAGAACACACUGUUCAUAUAAUAAAACCGUUUGCGAUAUUAACGUGUCAGCUAUUUGUUUCAAAAGGACUUCGUUGGCUAUUAAUGUGUGCGCCUUGCCUCAAACUGGACGAUUUUUUUUACCACGGCAUAUAUAUGUGCCAUGUCAUGAAACCAUGCUAAGUUUCAUGUUUCUUGGGUGAGUUUUUGAUUUACUGGGAAUUAAAAACCGAGAUUCUCAAUGUUUCAGGACGACAAUAAGUUUGUAAUUCAAUCUCAUUCCUUAAAUGAGACUAAACAUGCACCCAAUGACACAUGUACAAUUUCCCACCCAUUUUGCUUCACUGGAGCAUGUGCUUGUAGUUCAAAUUUGAAUUACGGACUACAUUAAAUGCCUAGAAAACUUAAUUAAUAUAUACAAUAGCCAAACGAACCCUAAACAGUUUCAAAUUUCAGCACGACACUCCUGUUAUUCUAUGUUGCCUGUAGAAAACAAAGUUCAAGGCGAGAAGAGGCAGCGAUUAUCGUUUCGCCCAUAAGAGGGGCAUGUAUCCCUACCGGAACCACGAGGGCUGCGAGAAGUUUCGGUUUGUAAGAGGCUUGUAAUAUAGCUUGGCCUAAAUUGGACAAUUAUUUUACCAUGACAUAUAUGUGCGAUGUAGUGACACCAUGCCAAGUUUCAUGAUCUCCUAGUGAGUUUUCGAUUUACGGAGAUUUAAAAAUCGAGAUUCGCAAUGUUGGUGGCCAAGCCAGGACGCCGAGACGGUUGAAUUCAUUCCCAUUCGUUCCAUGGGACCUAAACAUGAACCCCAAGGACACAUGUACGUUUUUCUAGCCAUUUUGGUGCAAUUGAGCAUGUAUUUGCAGUUCAGAUUUGAUCUAUGGACAUUAAAUGCCUAGAAAACUUAAUUAAUGAAUGAAAAAGGUCAAACGGACCCUGAAUAAUUUCAAAGUUCAGUGCGAAUCUCCCAUUGUUUUGUGUUGCGUGUAGAAGAAAAUACAAGGCUAGAAGAGGGAGCGAUUAUCGUUUCGCCCACAAGGGGACACGUUUCCCUAUCAAAACCACGAGGGUUCUUGUGACAUGCUCCGAUUUGUAAGAGGUUUGUAAUAAAGCUGGGCCCAAAUUGAACAAUGUUUUUACCACGACAUAUAUGCGCUAUGACGUGACACCAUGCCACCUUUGAUGACUUUCUAGUGAGUUUUGGAUUUAUGGGGAUUUAAAAACCGACAUUCCAAAUGUCUGAGGACGAGUCAGGACACCGGUACAGUUGUAAUUCAUUCCCAUUCCUGGCAUGGGACCUAAACAUGCACCCAAGGAUACAUGUAUAAUUUUUCUAGCCAUUUUGGUGAACUAGAGCAUGUAUUUGUUGUUGUUCAGAUUUGAAUUAUAGAUACUAAAUGCCUAGAAAACUCAAUUAGUGUAUAAAAAGGCCAAACAAACCCUGAAUAAGUUUAAACUUCAGCACGGAUACCCUGUCGUUCCAUAUUGCCUGUAGAAGGAAAUACAAGGCGAAAAUAGGUAGUGAUUACGUUUCGGCCACAAGGGAACAUGUUUCCCUAUUGGAACCACGCGGCUUCUCUGAAAGAAGCUCCGAUUUGUAAGAGGUUUGUAAUAAAGCUUGGCCCAAAUUGGACAAUGUUUUUACCACGACAUAUAUGUGCCAUGACGUGACACCAUGCCAACUUUCAUUACUUUCUGGUGAGCUUUGGAUUUAUGGGGAUUUAAAAACUGAAAUUUCCAAAUGUCUGAGGACGAGCCAGGACAUCGGUACGGUUUUAAUUCGUUCCCAUUCCUGGCAUGGGACCUAAACAUGCACCCAAGGACACAUGUAUAAUUUUCUAGCCAUUUUGGUGAACUAGAGCAUGUAUUUGUAAUUCUAAUUUGAAUUAUGGACAUUAAAUGACUAGGAAACUCAAUUAGUGUAUAAAAAGGCCAAACGAACCCUGAAUAAGUUUAAACUAGUAAAAAGCCUGUGCAUUGCUACGGGGCAUAUAUGUAUGUGUUUCAAAUCCUCAUGCAUUUAUUCUUCUUGUGCAACAAUUUAUCUGGCACACGUAUAUAUCAGUGCCUUCUUUAAGUGAUGCAAAACAUACAACUUGACAUAACAGUAGUCAAACAUCUCUUAAAUCAUUAAAUUAACAGGAAAUGUGAGUGAUCUUUUCGAGUGCCACAAUGUAUGAUGUAGAAAUCAUUCUGUAACGGUUUGUCAAACCACAAACAAAAGGAACAAUAACGUAAUCACCGAAUUAUAAGCAACGUAUCCUAGCAUUCUUAUUUUUUGUAAAUAAAUUCCUAGGGUAUUAAAUAAUUUUCAAAAUAAAAAAGUUGGGGAAAAUAUUAGUAACUUGCAAGGAAGAAAAAAUAGAGGAUUGGAAACAAUAGUACACAUGGAUGUCACACUUUCAAGUAGCAAAUUCCGUCCGAAAUCAUCAACUGUCACUGCCACAGCAUGAUUCUCUACUUCAUUGCAGUGCAUCUAAAAAAGCCGCACACCGGGAAACUAAUAAAUAUCAAUAGGCAUAAAAUGUGCACUAUUGACAUGGUUUAUCCGAUUAGAUACAUGGCCGUUGUGCAAGAUCAGAUAAUUUCAAGAGGCAGAUUCAUCCCGGGUCUUCAUCGUUCAAUACAUGUCUAUUGAUACAUCGGUCAAGGCGGUGACUUGUGGUGUGUCUUGUGCGUGUGGUGGGUGUAUACCUUAAUUGCGAUCGCAGAAAUUAUAAUAUAAUAUUAAGAGUACAUGUUCCAAAUUUCUUAAAAAUAUGUAAACAGAACCCAUGCCUGCAUGUUCAAUAAUUUCAGGUUUUCAGAUAUUGCCUGCAAACAACAAUCCGCAACAAAAAUCAUAGACCGAAGCAUUUCACAAUAGAACUGAUAGUAGGACAUCUAUAAAAACAGAAAAUGUAAGAGCUGGGCUAUUGGCUCCUGGGGAAAGAAUUGGAUUGCAUAGUACUAUUCCAUACUAUUACUGAAGUAUCAAUGAAAUUAAAGAUAACAUGAAUUACCCAGAUCCUCUUGAUAUAUAGCCGAUGUGGGCAUUCCUUCAUGCAAAUUGUGAGUGAAUAUCACAUAUUAGAAGCCUUUCAAUCAACUCCUACAGGGAACCAAGAAAGAUGGAAAUCAUGGGCUAUACAACCAACAAUCCAACAGUAAGCUGGUAAAGAAGGAAAUAAAUAAUAAUCAUAACAAAUACGAAUACCUACCUUAAAAUUGAAACAAAAUUAAUGUAAAAAGAACAUCUGAAAUGUAAUGACAACCUAAUGUGAUGAACACUUUGUUAAUAUAGCAAUUACAUACAGAAUACUGAUAUACAUGGCUAUACAACUUGCAGUCUGCUCUCUUUUUUCUGCGAAGAAUAAUGGGCUUAUAUUGCUUUUAGAAGACAUCAAGUUGUUGUAUUAAAUAGUCUAUAUGAUCAGCAAAGAAUAAAGCUUUAAAUUGUACUCGCCAAAAGGCGCAUUUACUCCUAUAUAACUAAGAUCUCUCGUCACUUCAGGAAAAAAAAGCCGAAUUUGAAGAAGUUAGCCCAUACAGUGUACAACUAUAACCAUGGAUCAGUUGAAAUAGAUAACUAAAGCAUAUGAAUCGUGUUCCCAUCAUGGCUGUCUCAAGAGAAGCAUAGGAAUCAUGCAUCUCAUCGACCCUCGUCCUCUAGCAGCAGGUCUCUCCCACCCGUCCUCCUCCUCCUACAAAUCCUAUUAGCCCGGCAGCCACCAUAGGAACUGUGCAUCUCGUCAAUCCCGACGUCCACCACCAGCAGGUCGAGCCCACCGUACUCCUCCUCCUCUUCCUAACUAAGCAGCAAAUUAAUGCAUUACCUUAGAGAAUAGGGAAUAGCAACUCAUAUCAUGUUCUUGCAGGUAGAUAAAAUUCAGGUAACUGAAUGAUGAUAUUAUAGAACUAAAUUUUGUACAGAACAAGAAAACAAGAGACAUGGGAGAAAUCACCAACAACCAGCCAAAAAAAGUGUAUCGCUUUGGUGCCGGAGUUGGCCAUGGAGAUGGUUCCCUUGCGCUGUGCUUCAGCACCUCGCAAACUUCCCGCCCCUGAUGGACACUCCGGCAUCCAAGGUUAAUUGGACAUGUUCUUUGAGUUUUUCUGGUAGUAUACGGCGGCGUGCGUACUGCAUAAUUCCUUCCCUUCUCAUCCUCUCAUUGUAACAGAGCCGAGCUACUGUGAUGGCGUCGGCUGGCCGUAUGCUGCUGCCUAUCGAUUGAGAUUCGUACGCAUGGCCGUGUUGAAGAUCCCACGCCACAAAACAAAUACCAAUGCGGAGAGAGAGAGAGAGAGAGAGAGAGAGAGAGAGCAGGAUGAGAGAGAGCAGGAUGAGAGAGAGAGAGAGAGCAGGAUGCUCACGCCGAUCUGCUACUGCCGCCACCUUCAAAUCCGCUGCCGCUGAACACUUCGCCUCCGGCAUGGUAGGUCAUCUUGGUCCGCUGAGGAGGGGUACUACUCCCCUUCUUCGUCGUCCACUGCAGGAGGUUCCCUCUCAUCCUCCUUGUCCCCCCGAAUAUCUGGGCCCACCUCCUCCGGCCAAGCCUGCACCUUGACGCCCCUUGCUGUAGUUCGCCGAGCCACCACCCGACCUCGCCUCCGCACUCCUGAGGCCUAGGCUGUCCGCCUCCGGUGCCUCGCCUGCCAGCCAUCAGAUCCCAGCCGUGAUGGCUGCUUGGUGGUGCGUGCAGUAAGCAAGGGCUACAACGCAGUGGCGAGCGGAGCGGCCAACAUCGGUGCGAUCAAGCACGCGUGCUGUGCGCCAGGGCAGGGCGGCGGCGGCAGGGUGAGAACGUGCAGCAGCACGGCGGCGGCGAGCGGAGAGUGGAGAGGACGAUUGGAUCGAGAGAUAUUUUUGGAAGGGUGGAUCGAGAUGGAAGAGAGCGACGACGGGGCCGAGCUGAACAAGGGCAGGCCGAAAU